RNAcentral lists this transfer RNA (71 nucleotides) under Minisyncoccota bacterium. RNAcentral's name for it is "tRNA-Pro". It matches the Rfam family "tRNA". From Rfam's summary of the family: Transfer RNA (tRNA) molecules are approximately 80 nucleotides in length. Their secondary structure includes four short double-helical elements and three loops (D, anti-codon, and T loops). The record is from RNAcentral. Lineage: Bacteria; Bacillati; Minisyncoccota.
CGGGGUGUAGCAUAAUGGUAGUGCGUGCGGUUUGGGACCGUAAGACCGGGGUUCGAUUCCCCGCUCCCCGA